Molecule: ribosomal RNA, 557 nt
Filed under: uncultured archaeon
Lineage: Archaea
Description: bacterial SSU rRNA
Rfam family: Archaeal small subunit ribosomal RNA
Source: RNAcentral
CACUUUACAAUGCGGGAAACCGCGAUAAGGGAACCCCGAGUGCCAGCACCAAGUGUUGGCUGUCCAGAUGAUUAAAUCUCAUUUGUUAGCAAGGGCCGGGCAAGACCGGUGCCAGCCGCCGCGGUAACACCGGCGGCCCGAGUGGUAACCGUUUUUAUUGGGUCUAAAGGGUCCGUAGCCGGUCUGAUCAGUCUUUUGGGAAAUCUGGCAGCUUAACUGUCAGGCUUCUAAGAGAUACUGUCAGGCUUGGGACCGGGAGAGGUAAGGGGUACUCCAAGGGUAGGAGUGAAAUCUUGUAAUCCUUGGGGGACCAUCUGUGGCGAAGGCGCCUUACCAGAACGGGUCCGACGGUGAGGGACGAAAGCUAGGGGAGCAAACCGGAUUAGAUACCCGGGUAGUCCUAGCUGUAAACGAUGCUCGCUAGGUGUCAGGCACGGUGCGUCCGUGUUUGGUGCCGUAGGGAAGCCGAGAAGCGAGCCACCUGGGAAGUACGGUCGCAAGGCUGAAACUUAAAGGAAUUGGCGGGGGAGCACUACAGCGGGUGGAGCCUGCGGUUU